This 236-nucleotide long non-coding RNA is filed under the name Mytilus galloprovincialis (Mediterranean mussel). The record is from RNAcentral. Lineage: Eukaryota; Metazoa; Mollusca; Bivalvia; Mytilida; Mytilidae.
UUUAUGUGCCGUGUUUCUUUCAAUCCAAGAUAUGAACGAACAAUGACCUUCCCCCAGCUGAUUUAAGAUUAAAUGUAUGUUGAAAGCAUCUCCGUGGUAUUAAUCAAACCUGUUAUGUAAACAGACCCAGAACGACUGAUGAAGUAAAUUCAAUAAUAAUAAUAAUAAUAAUAAUAAUAAUAAUAAUAAUAAUAAUAAUAAUAAUAAUAAUAAUAAUAAUAAUAAUAAUAAUAAUA